CCUAACACAUGCAAGUCGAACGGUAGAGUAGCAAUACUUGAGAGUAGCGAACGGGUGAGUAAUAUAUCGGAACGUGCCCAGUCGUGGGGGAUAACGUACAGAAAUUUACGCUAAUACCGCAUACGAUCUAAGGAUGAAAGCGGGGGACCGUAAGGCCUCGCGCGAUUGGAGCGGCUGAUAUCAGAUUAGGUUGUUGGUGAGGUAAAAGCUCACCAAGCCGACGAUCUGUAGCUGGUUUGAGAGAACGACCAGCCACACUGGGACUGAGACACGGCCCAGACUCCUACGGGAGGCAGCAGUGGGGAAUUUUGGACAAUGGGCGAAAGCCUGGUCCAGCAAUGCCGCGUGCAGGAAGAAGGCCUUCGGGUUGUAAACUGCUUUUGUACGGAACGAAACGGUCUGCUUUAAUACAGUGGGCUAAUGACGGUACCGUAAGAAUAAGCACCGGCUAACUACGUGCCAGCAGCCGCGGUAAUACGUAGGGUGCGAGCGUUAAUCGGAAUUACUGGGCGUAAAGCGUGCGCAGGCGGUUAUAUAAGACAGUUGUGAAAUCCCCGGGCUCAACCUGGGAAUUGCAUCUGUGACUGUAUAGCUAGAGUACGGUAGAGGGGGAUGGAAUUCCGCGUGUAGCAGUGAAAUGCGUAGAUAUGCGGAGGAACA
RNAcentral lists this ribosomal RNA (660 nucleotides) under uncultured bacterium. RNAcentral's name for it is "bacterial SSU rRNA". It matches the Rfam family "Bacterial small subunit ribosomal RNA", at positions 47 to 708 of the family's 1533-position model. The record is from RNAcentral.